This is a small nuclear RNA of Hemiscyllium ocellatum (epaulette shark), 183 nucleotides long. RefSeq annotates it as U2 spliceosomal RNA. Lineage: Eukaryota; Metazoa; Chordata; Chondrichthyes; Orectolobiformes; Hemiscylliidae. The transcript has a single exon. The record is from RefSeq and is a predicted model, not a curated record.
AUAUUUUGAAAUAAAAAAAAAAAAAAAAAUUCUGUUCUUAUCAGUUUAAUAUCUGAUAUCCCCGUAUGUGGGGAGCUCUGUAUUAAAUUGAUUUUUGGAGCAGGGGGCUGGACUCGGAGCUUGCUCUGUUCACCCCACACAUCGGCCUGGUAUUGCAGUGUUUCCGGGAACGGUGUACCCUUC